Molecule: ribosomal RNA, 498 nt
Filed under: uncultured bacterium
Lineage: Bacteria
Description: partial 16S ribosomal RNA
Rfam family: Bacterial small subunit ribosomal RNA
Source: RNAcentral
GGAUGAACGCUGGCGGCGUGCCUAAUACAUGCAAAUCGAGCGAACGGACGAGAAGCUUGCUUCUCUGAUGUUAGCGGCGGACGGGUGAGUAACACGUGGAUAACCUACCUAUAAGACUGGGAUAACUUCGGGAAACCGGAGCUAAUACCGGAUAAUAUUUUGAACCGCAUGGUUCAAAAGUGAAAGACGGUCUUGCUGUCACUUAUAGAUGGAUCCGCGCUGCAUUAGCUAGUUGGUAAGGUAACGGCUUACCAAGGCAACGAUGCAUAGCCGACCUGAGAGGGUGAUCGGCCACACUGGAACUGAGACACGGUCCAGACUCCUACGGGAGGCAGCAGUAGGGAAUCUUCCGCAAUGGGCGAAAGCCUGACGGAGCAACGCCGCGUGAGUGAUGAAGGUCUUCGGAUCGUAAAACUCUGUUAUUAGGGAAGAACAUAUGUGUAAGUAACUGUGCACAUCUUGACGGUACCUAAUCAGAAAGCCACGGCUAACUACGUG